Molecule: long non-coding RNA, 2252 nt
Organism: Homo sapiens (human)
Lineage: Eukaryota; Metazoa; Chordata; Mammalia; Primates; Hominidae
Product: MIR4500 host gene
Source: Ensembl
ACAUUCGUAGGAAGAGAGAGAAGUCUUGGACCAUGUGUGUAAUUCGAGCGUGGGACUGUGCAAUUCUCGGAUUGGGAAAGGGAGGAGUGGAAAUAACCCCGGCAGUGCCAGGCUUGCUGGUGGUCAGGAACAGAUGAUUCCAGCCCUGUGCUGAUCGCCUGCCUUCCUCCUGCCAUUCAGAAUGCUGCUGUCUCGUGUACUUACUGUUAAGGAUCCUGGAAAAGGGAGUGGUUCCUCCUAGCUGCAAACAAGGGCGCUACUUUUCUUUUCUCUUUAAUAGAAUUACGUUUUAUAGGUGUGUCUAGGCAACACAAGGGAAUGUGAAAGACUUUCAGAGGGAAUGUUUGUGAAUACAUCUGGUGUGUACUAAAAAGCUGGAAAACCCCUAAGUAAAUGCAAUAUCGAUAGAAAGCGAGUUUCUUGAAGAGUCAUCUGCUAAACUCCACUAGAGUCAUCUCUACACCCAUAGGUCAAAUAAAAGAUUAAUAAUUUAGACAUAUCAGCUGUAAAUUCAUAAGAACCAUAUGGAUGUCCAAGUGGAGGUGGAGGAGGUGAUUAAGAUGGAAAAAGGCAACCAUGAAUGAAGACACACAGAUCCUCAACCUUUAAAACAGAUGCAACUGACUCACUUAAAAUAGCUGUGUGGAUAUAGAACUUUUAUCAACUACUAUUUACUAAAUUAUAUUGGUGUGUUUGUCCUCAUCUUAGAAUAGCAUAUCAAUAGAUGCUAUAAAAACAUAAGAGGGUGUGGUUAAGAGAAAAAAAAAUUGCCAUUAAGGAAUCAGCAAAUAGGAUGUCUGAAGUGAGGAUAUAGCACCUAUCUCUGAGAUUAAAGUCAUCUGAUCAAAAAUGAUGCCUCUGAGACUAUAACAAAGGAAUGAAUAAUGAAAUAUAAGAAUGGGGAUUCUGCACUAACUCUAUGGGGAAGAAAACAAUGUCUCUGUUCAUCAUGAGAAAUGCUCAGCGACUGCAGACAUAAAGAGAAAGCUUUCAAUUAAAGUUUCAAUGAUGGGAUAGGAACUGAGAAGUCUGUGGAGUUUUCUGCCUAGGAGUACCCUUGGAAAAGCCACUGCUAUGCCCAACCAGCACUGGGAAUCCCAGAUCACAUGCAAUCAUAGGAGUUGCCCUGGAGGCAGAAGCUCAGCACAUGUUCUGGUACAAGGAGAUUACAGUGUUGUGCAAAGCAAAGGGAUGAAUGAUGCCCAACUCUCUAACAUGGGCCUCGGUUUCCACAUCGAGGUUGGAAAUGAGCUAGGAAGCAGAUCCACCAUAAAUGGAGAAAGAAGAGAAACAAGUUGAGCUUUUAAUGACCCCGUAGCCUGACUCUUUGGUAUGGAAAUGGAAAGAGAUCCUCAUGGAAACAUAAAUAAAAUAUAUCACAUGUAACUUAUACCAAUAAUUAUUUUCUCCCCCAGUACCUCAAUUUUGCCCAGAUUGGACUCUAUUUUAUUUCCUUAUUUUUCCACAGUAAUUUACUUAAGUAAAACCAGGAUUUAUUUUAUUCAUCUCCAUGUCAGUUGCUAAGUCCAAGGGAUGUAUAUAGUUUAAAAAAUAUCACAAAGGAUGAUAUGGUGAAAUUGAACAACACAUUAUUACCUGAUGUACAGUCAUUGAUUUUGUAUACUAGCCUUUACCCCUGGCUACUGAUAAUUUUGGAUUUUGAAGAUUCAAAGACAGAGACUUGUAAAUACUUUAGUUUUUACACUUCUUUAUCAUACUCAUACCUGGGAUGGAAAAGUAUCAUUUAAUAUAUUAAGAACAUUGUUAUAGUACAUGUAUUUAAAUAACUCACAAGAGCAAGUAAUCUUACCUCAUGUCAUCUAUUUUUGAAAAAAUAUUUUGUGUAUUUCCACAUGCUUCUUCCAGAUGACCUUUAGCAAAACUUUGUGAAGUUUCAUUGUGGCUGUUGUCUUAGAAAGAUGGUCUUGUUAAUAAGGUCAGUGUUUUAGCCUUGCAAUAUAAGAUUAUGUGCAUUUGUUUAGAGGGAGACUUUAGGAUACAGCGAAGUGUUUUACAAAUGUUUACCAUUUUUAUUCUUAUUAGAUUUUUGAAAGUAUUUGGUUUAAAAUUUUCUUCUUUUUAUUCAACCAGCUCUUUAAAUUACCCAUCAAUUCUUGUUAAGAGUGUGUAUUGUAUAUCUCUCUAUACAUUUCAUGUAUUUUUGUAUGAAUUGUGCUAUUUUUAUAAUUUUUCUAUUUAGCCUCUGUAUCCAAUAUGAUUCAAUGUAUACAUGGAUGCCAUACGUAGGUACU